RNAcentral lists this ribosomal RNA (424 nucleotides) under uncultured Alphaproteobacteria bacterium. Its description in RNAcentral is "bacterial SSU rRNA". It matches the Rfam family "Bacterial small subunit ribosomal RNA", at positions 961 to 1382 of the family's 1533-position model. Lineage: Bacteria; Pseudomonadati; Pseudomonadota; Alphaproteobacteria. The record is from RNAcentral.
GCGCAGAACCUUACCAGCCCUUGACAUCCCGGUCGCGGAUCGCAGAGAUGCUUUCCUUCAGUCGGCUGGACCGGUGACAGGUGCUGCAUGGCUGUCGUCAGCUCGUGUCGUGAGAUGUUGGGUUAAGUCCCGCAACGAGCGCAACCCCCGCCUUCAGUUUGCCAACGGUUCGGCCGUGCACUCUGGAGGAACUGCCUGUGACAAGCAGGAGGAAGGUGGGGAUGACGUCAAGUCCUCAUGGCCCUUAUGGGCUGGGCUACACACGUGCUACAAUGGCGGUGACAGAGGGAUGCAAUACCGCGAGGUGGAGCAAAUCCCUAAAAGCCGUCUCAGUUCGGAUUGUUCUCUGCAACUCGAGAGCAUGAAGUUGGAAUCGCUAGUAAUCGCAGAUCAGCUCGCUGCGGUGAAUACGUUCCCGGGCCUU